Molecule: non-coding RNA, 6791 nt
Organism: Paramuricea clavata
Lineage: Eukaryota; Metazoa; Cnidaria; Anthozoa; Malacalcyonacea; Plexauridae
Source: the annotation of a GenBank genome assembly
UGUAGAUGUCUUGCUGUGCCUAAUAUUUUGGCGAGAAAUACUGUUGUUUACCUCGUACGAGGAAGUUUUGAAGCCUUUGCACCUUACUAGGAAAAGCCUCGUUCAAUAUACGGCAUAUUAAACGAAUUGUAUUAGAAACAAACGAAUUGUGCACGAAAAGCCGAAGGCUUUUCGACACGUUCUUGCUCGACACCAAUGGGUUGUUGUGGGAACAAAACCGAAACCACAAAUGACAUUGAUAUGGGAGAAAGCGACCAUAAAGACGGUGGGAGUUAUGGUGAGUAAAAGGUCUUCAGGUGCUUUCAUGUUUAAAAACCAGACAGUGUAUUUUGGCGAAUAAACCGCGCCGAGACUGUUUACUCUUCUACUGUAUGUGGUAUACCACGUAUUUGUAGUCUGUAAGCUGAGCUUUAAAGACAGUCCUGUUUCUAAAAUUACUCAAAAUUUAUGAGCAAGUUAUUGCCAUUUAAGAUAACAACAGAUAAGAAUUGGCCAAGAGUGCUUUAAAUCAAUGCUUUAAUUCAACAGUUUUGGUUUUACAAACGGGAUUACGGGAUCAUAUCUCGGAUCAUAUGACCCGUCUAUUGCAGAAAAUCUCGGAAUGCAAAAGUUUCAAAACAGAGCAAACAUAUAUGUAGAUGUAUUAAAUUUCAGCUUGUGUUUAAUUUUCAACUGAGGUUAAAAGACAAAAAUUCAGCUGAAACUUAUGCAGCUUUGUUGACGGAUUCUGUACAGUGACAAAAUUGGUCUGUUAUAUUGCUUAUGAAGCAUAUUUCCGUGUUUUUUCUUGUAAAAAUGACCGGAAAUGUUGGAUAUUUUUCCAGAAUAGUUAUGGCAAACCACAGUUAAUAGACUAAGAUUAACUGUGGGCAAACUAGAGUUUUUGUCAAAUAGGAAGAUCAGAAAUCUGCUUGGUUCUUGAUUCGUGAGAAUGUGCAGAUUCGUGAGAAAUUACUUGACGUUUUGACAAUUUGAGGGAUUUUGCACAAAUUUUCAUAAUUACAAGACUAUGAUGUUUGUGAUGUUACUCUGAGUGUAUAUCCACACCGGGCAAGCUUGAAAAAUAUGCUUGGCCAUGGUGGGAAUCGAACCUACAACCUUUGGAAUACCAGUUUUUUUCAAGCUUGCCCGGUGUGGAUAUACACUCAGAGUAACAUCACAAACAUCAUACAUCAACACAGAAAAAAUCAUGAUUACAAGACUACUCAGUUUUUAGGGGGAGGGGGUGCAGUGCAAGUAGCCAAGCACACCAAACCCAGCACUAACCAGCAAUGUACUGGCAAAGUGCACCUAGUAGUUUUGUGCUAACAAUUUACAGAUAUAUAAUAGUUUUGUUUGUGGAAACACCACGUAAAUUUAUUACUGCAAAGCUUUCGAUCCGUAAGCCCGGAUCUUCAUUGCUAAUAAUUUUCAUAUUAUUACCACUGAUGAAGAUUCGGGCUUAUGGAUCGAAAGCUUUGCAGUAAUAAAUUUAUGUGGUGUUACUACAAACAAAACUAUAAUUAUAUAUUUUAUCGCCAUGCAAACAUACAAAGAAUUUACAGAUAUGUUGAUUAAACAUAAUUUAACAAUUAUAUUGAUAUAUUGUGAUUGUGUGAAAGAGAAAAUGGAAUUUUUUUACAUUUGAUUGCUUUUGUAAUUUUUAUUUUCAUUGUCAAAUACUUGUUAGAUGUUUGCAGCAAAAUUAAGAAUUUGUUUUAUUUUAAUUAAUGAAAGUAUCAAACUUAAAAAUUAUUAACUAUAAUGCUGUGGUGCUGCCUUGAAUACCGAAACUUAAGUUAGUCCAAGACAGAUGACAACAGAUAAGAUUUUGUUUAAAUUUUUUCAUCCCCCUUGCACCCUCGUUGACCAAGGCCAUGUGCACCCCCCUAUAAAUCCACCACUGAGAAUCCAAAAAAUGAUCAGGUUGUUGCAAUAUUGAUGAAAACAGGAUUGAACAAUGCUUUGCUGCCCACAUUGUUCACAGUUGCCAACAAUAUUGAACAAUAUUGUUGCUCCCGAUUCAGGCUCAACAACAUUGUUCAAUAUUGUUGACAAGUGUGAACAACAUGGGCAGCAAAACAUUGUUCAAUCCUGUUGAGCAGCAGGCUCAGCGUUUUUUGCCGUAUAUACAGGGUUUUCAGUUUAGGCCGGCGCACAGCGAAUUUCGCCAGACUUUUUCAUUCAGCCCCACCCAAAUUCGCCAGAGCUUUUACAUCAAUAUAUAAUCCAUGUGCAUGAAUGAUUGUGAAACUUAACUCAGGGCAGUCUACAUAGUCUAGGCUUUUCCCUUUCGCCAUAGCUUCAUCGCCAUUAGCCAAAGCCUCAACUGAAAACCCUGUGUAUAUAAUAAAAUGAUUUCACACCAUUCUUUCACUCUCAUGACUUGGACUAAUUGAUCACCAUUAUUUCAUGAUAGUGCUUUACACUUGCAGUUUUUGCUGUGAUUUCUAGUGCAAUUUUCUCCCUCUGGUGGAUGUGAAUGAGUGAAUAAGUUACUCUGAGUAUAUGUACAUGUACCAUCAUCUAAACAUUCCUAACUCAUUCACAUACAUCAGCAGAAGAAAGUCACAGCAAAAAAUUGCAAAUUUAAACAGGCCUUUAAGUUAAAAUGCAAAUAAAGGAAGUUAUUAAAUGCAAAUAAGCAAGUAUUUUAUUGCUUAUGCAGGGUGUUUAUCUUCCUCAUUGAACUAAAAAAGCUUGAACUGCUAUGUUAAAAUGAAGCGUGAAAAGAAAGGCAAGCUAGUUUAGUUUAAUAGUGUAGUUUAUUGUGCCUUAUUACCACGAGGUAGUCGCAAAGAUCUUUUUAUACAAUAUUUAGGAAAAAGAAUAAAUUUUUAGCAGCAGGCAGCUGAAAAUUGUGCUUUAAUUAUUUAUUCUACUGUAUAUAAAUUAUUUCGAAAAUUUAAGCACAGAAGGUUGCCCAUUACUCUGUGUCAGUUUUAUUGUGUGAACCCACCAAAUCAAUAUCUGGUAGAGUGUUUUAUAUUGUUACUAAAGUUACAAAAUAGCAAAUUUUGAAGUCAUUUAUGUAAUUGAGAGGGCCCCCUAUACUUUUUGCGUGAAGCGUGAAGGGCUUAUUUUACUUAGCCGUGAAACGUGAUCAAUGAUUUUCUUAAUCCGUGACUCGUGAAAAGGCAAAAUAUUUUUACUUGAAAGCAUAUUGUGAAGAGGUAUAGGGGACCCUCAAUUGACAGUUUCUAUAAAAUUUAUUUCAAAAUUCAAAAUGAAUAACAGUCCUCAAAAAAUGAGGCUGGCAUUUGGCAAUGCUGACAUGUCAUCAUCCCAGGUUGGCAAUUCCUUUACUGACUUCAAUUCAAUUAGUCUCGUGCAGUAGAAGUAUCUUUUUUGUGUGCCGACAACAGUUCAAAAUGGCAUCCUAUUCGUUCAUUAUUCUGUGUUCACAGCUUGUAGUUCUUCCCUAGUGCAGUCAGGGAAACUGCAAGGCUAAUGUCAGUAAUUCUAACGGAAAGCAGCCGUCAGAAUAUUAAAAAGUAUGAUUGUGUUACUGGCUGCUGCUGUUUUGAAAUUACAAUGUAGGAGAUGGUAUGCUAAAAAUGCUGAGUGUUGGACCCCCUGGGUCAGAUUUAGGUUGGCGUUUAUAUUGUUUUGCCAACCUCAUUUUUAACUCUUCAAGGGCUGAGACAAUAAUAUUGAAUGGACCUAAACUAUAAUCGCACUUUCACACAAACUAAUAAACCAAACUAAUAAACCAGAAUACCAGAGAUGAUCACUACUGUCAGCUUUGUGAAAAUCACUUUCGAAUCCUAUAAUCCUUUGUGGCUUAGCUUGAGUGUCAGACGAUUUCGUUAUUUGUCUGACACUCCGGCUAUUUGUGUCUGAACUUCCUGAAAAACAAUAAAAACAUGUGAAGUCAGGAAGUUGUUGCGUGACACAUCAAACAGUUCCUUUAAUAUUUAACCCUUUGAGUGGCAAUGUGCUCUAGAUUGUUUUUUAUUUUUGUCUAACACCAGUCAAAUUUACUCGUCAAGGGGAUCACCUGCACCUUAGGAAGCUUAUGUACCUAUCAAUUCGAAACUUCAACAGCCUUCAGACCGACCCCGGGAAUUUGAACUUUUUGAAAUUUGACUGAUCAAAUUCUCCCCUACCUGUGCAAAAAAUGUCUUCAAAUGCCCCACUGUAACAAGAAAUUAAGCGUUCAAAUGCCCCACCUUCAUAUGAAAAUUAUGAAGCGGUAAAAACAAAAAGGGAAAAUAUAUGGAAAUGUUUUUCGGCGAGACAGCGAAAUUCACUUAAAAAGUUUGGAAACCUAAUUAUGGAAAUUUGACAGGUUUACACAAUUUUAUAGUACAUACCUUCAAAUGAAGCACAUAGCUUUUCCAUGCCCGUUUCUUUGAGCCAGUUUUUCACAAAAUUGUGCCCUUUUACCUCGCAAUCUGAGAAAACUGUAUUUGCCGCCAAUGCGAAGCCUUUUCUGUAGUGUUUUAGUAAUUAGUAGCCUGCAUGCACGAAGCGAAAACGAGCAAAAUUUUAAGACCUCCGGUUCAAAUUCCCCCAUCCUUAUCAAAUGCCCCACCACCCUUAUCAAAUGCCCCACCACCCUUAUCAAAUGCCCCACCACCCUUAUCAAAUGCCCCACCACAUGGAAGAUCUAGAACGUCAAAUUCCCUACUCCCUGGAGAAGACUUGAAGUCAAAUUCGGGGAGAUGUUGAAGUUUCGAAUUGAUCGGUACAUUAUUGUACAAUGCAUUUCAGCUACACUUACUCAGACCCUCUAUCUCAAGCUUCGGAUACACGAGCAAUAUUUUUGCUGCGAUGGUUACGCAAUGGAUGAUAACAGCAUUGCAUUGCCGUCGCACAAGGUGGCUACACCUGCAAUAUUUCACCUACCCCGUAUAUGUCUUCAUAACGCUUUUCAUUGGCUGGUCAAGAAACGUGUCAUUCAUCAACCUUGACCUUCCUUGACCACACCUCCCAAUUUUUGGCAAUCAUUGCCGAAAAGCAAAUGAUUUGAAAUUUCGGCAACGAUUGCGCGCAGCUUUGCAUUGCCGUCGCAGAGCAUGAUACACAAGCAAUUUCUUUCUCGCGGCGGCAAUGCAACGAUUUUACCACCAUUGCAUUGCCAUCGCCAGAAAAGUAUUGCCCGUGUAUCCGUAGCUUUAACUAGACCCUCAUUUUUGCCAUCGUUUCAGACACAUAUACAGGGUGUAUAAAAAAAAGGUCAUCGAAAUUCAGCGCGCUAUUGUAUCUGAAUUACUCUGCGUAUGAACGAGAUUUUUUCACUUUCGGAAAGAUCAUGCUUUUAGCUGUUGAAUGAUAUAUUCUUCAUGCCAAAUGGAUAAAAAAUGAGCAAAUACGAAUCCGAUAAAAAAUGUUAGUCAGAAUCGCAUAUUUUCACCGUUGAGAGUUGGGUCUAAAACCAUUGAAAAUGAACCCCCUUUGGUACUUAAGUUGAUGAAUUUUACUUCAAUAAACGACGCACAUAUUCAUAAUUAUUAUUAAGUAGGAAUAAAUCUUAGCUAAGCUAGGACACGUUUGUGAUUAAUUGCUUUUUCUUUUGUUAUGCAUUGUUUUAAUUAGGUACAGAGGUGAAAAUAUGUGAUUUUGACUAACAUUUUUAAUCGGCCUCGUACAUGCUUAUUUUUUCUCCACUUGGCAUGAAAAGCAUGUCAUUCAGUAGCUAAAAGCAUGAUCUUUCCGAAUAUGAAAACCAAUUGUUCAUACGCCGAGUGAUUCACGUAUAAUAGCGCGCUGAAGUUCGAUUACCUUUUUUUUAUACACCUUGUAUAAUCCAAAAUUAACUUGUGUCAUCACUGUAAAAGUAUUUGAAAAAUUGCCAUGACAAUUAUACACUAUAAACACAUACAAACAUUAAUUAUGUUAGUGAAUAUUUUGCUGUUUUGAAAAAAAGUAAUAAGAUUUUUAUGACCACCUAAGAUGACCCGUUCUUAAUUAAUAGGUAAAUCAAGAAAAUUUGAUCCAGAAUUUAGUGGCCCAAUCAAAAACAGGUUUUUACCUAAUUUCUCAUCCAUUGAUCUAUUCUUGAAUAUAUAUUAUAAACUGCAUUAUUUCGAACAUUUUUACCACUAUCUUAGGAGUUGCACAGAUAUCCCAUGUUGUAUUCUUUUCAUCGUAUAUCUUGUUGGGAUGGCGAUUGUUGGUAUAUUAGGUCAGUAGUAUAUUGAUUUUGUACCUAAUCAGGGAUAAAAAAAAUCCAUUCAAGUGAUCAAGAGGUUCAGAUUCAGAGCUUUCACUACCACUAUAACCUCUCACAGUCCCACCAAUGCAGCUUAGUAUGCACCUGAAAUAAAAGUCUAAGCCAAUCAAAUGCAUUGUUUACAAAUGGUUUGUGAAUAUGAUUAUGAACUUUGCAACGAAGUUUGCAACAUUUAGGGAAAAGUUAUGUGAAAUCAACUGUAAUGGUCUCUUAAUGGUAGUGAUAGUGGAAUCUAAUCUGAACCUCUAGUAUGAACUGGUUGACUGACCAAAAGGGGUACACCCUCUGAUUACUGUCACCCUCUCAACCCUGAGGGGUGUGACCCACCCCCAAACCAGGUGAGCCUAGAUAUUAUUUCCCUCAACAAACCAUUGAUAGAAUUUUACUGGCUGGACAUGCAACCCUAUGGCCGAAACCACCCAAGAAUGUAUCUCCAUCAAUUCCUUUAUAUACUGAAAUAUUAGAUGGGCUGUGAUAUAACCCAUGCCCCAACCCAAGAAACAUCUGCACCCUCUAUCAACUGAGACUCCCUUGUCUCUAACUACUCUUACCAGUGCCAAGUGAACUUAUAUUGUAUUUUAGCCUUCAUGUGGGGCAAUCCAGACCGUCUAAUCAACCCAGUUAAUUCUGAAGG